Molecule: long non-coding RNA, 925 nt
Filed under: Homo sapiens (human)
Lineage: Eukaryota; Metazoa; Chordata; Mammalia; Primates; Hominidae
Description: HSALNT0370290
Source: RNAcentral
CUCUUGCCUUCCACCUGCUGCUAUAUGAGGACACAGCAGCAAGGUGCCAUCUUGGAAGCAGAGAACAGCCCUCGCCAGACACCAAAAUUGGUGGCUUCAGAACCGUAAGAAGUAAAUUUUUGUUCUUUAUAAAUUACCCAGUCUGUGGUAUUUUCUUAUAGCAGCAUAAUUGGACUAAGAGAGCUAUUAUCCCUAAUCCCUCAUCAUUUCCCCUGUCACUAGACUACUAGUAAUCCACUUUCUAUCACUAUACAUUUUCCAACUCUAGACAUUUCAUAUAAACAGAAUCAUACAGAAUGUAGUCUUUUGUGACUGGCUUCAUUCAUGUGCUGUAGCGUGUUUUCAAGGUUUAUUCAUGCUGUAGUAUGUUUCAGCACUUCAUUUCUUUGUAUGACUAAUAUUCCAUUGUGUGUAUACAUCACACUUUGUUUAUCCAUCAUCUGUUGACGGACAUUUGUUUCCACUCUUUGGCUGUUAUAAAUCAUGUUGCUAUGAAUAACUGUAUACAAGUUUUUGUGUUAACAUGUAUUUUAAAAAAUUAUCUUGGGUAUAUACCUGGAAGUAGAAAUGCUGGGUCAAAUGGUAACUCUAUGUUUUAACUUUUUUUAGGAAUGGUCACACUGUUUUCCAAAGUGACUGCACCAUUUCAUAUUUCUACCAGCAACAUCAUCAUCUUCCUUUUACAGAUGAAGAAACUCAUAUCAUGGAAAAGCAUGGAUGAAAUCCUCUGACCACCCUACAUUUAAAGGACCUUUAAAGAGAAAGAACUGACAGUGUAAGUGGAAAAAGAGCAACUGGAAGUAGCAGGAGAAGGAAAAACCAUUAUCAUACAACUGGUGGGAAGAAGGAAUGUCAAAAACAUCAGUGUGAAAAUAAUUGCAGUAAAACGGUAAAUCCCAGUAAUUACUGAAAAGAGAUUUUUAGG